UGGUUCACCACAGGUGAUUAAAUGGGAACAGAGUGAAAGUCUCUGACAGUCCCGCUGCUGUGAAUGGCCUUUAUAAGGUUGGAACAAAUAAUGUCACUGACAGACAACGUUCGGGAAGACGUUCCAACAUGGCUAAAGUCAGAAGACCUGCCGUCACAUGA
This 161-nucleotide non-coding RNA is filed under the name uncultured Prevotella sp. Lineage: Bacteria; Pseudomonadati; Bacteroidota; Bacteroidia; Bacteroidales; Prevotellaceae. The record is from RNAcentral.